AUGCGCGAGGACGGCUACCCCGACGACUGCCCUGGCUACCUCAUCGCCCUACGGGCAUCGCAGGCAGAAGCGGCGGCCGCGACGGCGGCGGCGGAGGCCAGAGAGGCCGCCGAGCUGCAGGCCGCACUGGACGUCGCGGCGGCUAUGGCGGCGGCAGCAGAGGCCGCCGAGCUGCAGGCCGCACUGGAUGCGGCGGCGGGUAUCGGUGCGGUGCAGGCGCCGGCGCAGGCGGCUCCGGUGGAGGACGACGCCGGCAAGAGUAGCGACGACGACGACGGUGACGGUUGUGCGGGCGAGAUCGUGGACCUCGCCGCCUCCGACUCCGACUCGGCCAUGUUAGGGAAUGGCCACGUGGAAACCUAG
Molecule: ribosomal RNA, 363 nt
Filed under: Triticum aestivum (bread wheat)
Lineage: Eukaryota; Viridiplantae; Streptophyta; Magnoliopsida; Poales; Poaceae
Description: partial small subunit ribosomal RNA
Source: RNAcentral